Molecule: ribosomal RNA, 497 nt
Filed under: uncultured bacterium
Lineage: Bacteria
Description: partial 16S ribosomal RNA
Rfam family: Bacterial small subunit ribosomal RNA
Source: RNAcentral
GAUGAACGCUGGCGGCGUGCCUAAUACAUGCAAGUCGAGCGAACGGACGAGAAGCUUGCUUUUCUGAUGUUAGCGGCGGACGGGUGAGUAACACGUGGAUAACCUACCUAUAAGACUGGGAUAACUUCGGGAAACCGGCGCUAAUCCCGGAUAAUAUUUUGAACCGCAUGGUUCAAAAGUGAAAGACGGUCUUGCUGUCACUUAUAGAUGGAUCCGCGCUGCAUUAGCUAGUUGGUAAGGUAACGGGUUACCAAGGCAACGAUGCAUAGCCGACCUGAGAGGGGGAUCGGCCACACUGGAACUGAGACACGGUCCAGACUCCUACGGGAGGCAGCAGUAGGGAAUCUUCCGCAAUGGGCGAAAGCCUGACGGAGCAACGCCGCGUGAGUGAUGAAGGUCUUCGGAUCGUAAAACUCUGUUAUUAGGGAAGAACAUAUGUGUAAGUAACUGUGCACAUCUUGACGGUACCUAAUCAGAAAGCCACGGCUAACUACGUG